Molecule: microRNA precursor, 116 nt
Filed under: Anopheles gambiae str. PEST
Lineage: Eukaryota; Metazoa; Arthropoda; Insecta; Diptera; Culicidae
Description: partial AGAP013626-RA
Source: RNAcentral
UGUUUUUCACUCGUGUUUGCCGCUAAAAGUGGGCUAAUUUAUAGAUUUUUCAACAGUGUGGUUGAUUCAUAACCCCAUAAGUGUGUGCGUGUGUAUGUGUGUCCGCAGUGUAAAUA